This 71-nucleotide transfer RNA is filed under the name Loxodonta africana (African savanna elephant). It matches the Rfam family "tRNA". Rfam says of the family: Transfer RNA (tRNA) molecules are approximately 80 nucleotides in length. Their secondary structure includes four short double-helical elements and three loops (D, anti-codon, and T loops). Lineage: Eukaryota; Metazoa; Chordata; Mammalia; Proboscidea; Elephantidae. The record is from Rfam by way of RNAcentral.
GCACUGGUGGUUCCGGGGGAGAAUUCUUGCCUUCCAUGCAGGAGACCUGAGUUCGAUUCCCAGCCAAUGCA